Molecule: ribosomal RNA, 572 nt
Filed under: uncultured Bifidobacterium sp.
Lineage: Bacteria; Bacillati; Actinomycetota; Actinomycetes; Bifidobacteriales; Bifidobacteriaceae
Description: partial 16S rRNA
Source: RNAcentral
CACUAGUGAUUGGUGUUCUUCCCGAUAUCUACACAUUCCACCGUUACACCGGGAAUUCCAGUCUCCCCUACCGCACUCAAGCCCGCCCGUACCCGGCGCGGAUCCACCGUUAAGCGAUGGACUUUCACACCGGACGCGACGAACCGCCUACGAGCCCUUUACGCCCAAUAAUUCCGGAUAACGCUUGCACCCUACGUAUUACCGCGGCUGCUGGCACGUAGUUAGCCGGUGCUUAUUCGAAAGGUACACUCACCCGAAGGCUUGCUCCCGAUCAAAAGCGGUUUACAACCCGAAGGCCGUCAUCCCGCACGCGGCGUCGCUGCAUCAGGCUUGCGCCCAUUGUGCAAUAUUCCCCACUGCUGCCUCCCGUAGGAGUCUGGGCCGUAUCUCAGUCCCAAUGUGGCCGGUCGCCCUCUCAGGCCGGCUACCCGUCGUAGGCUCGGUGGGCCGUUACCCCGCCGACUACCUGAUAGGACGCGACCCCAUCCCAUACCGAUGAAAUCUUUCCCGGAAGGACAUGCAUCCAACCGGAGCAUCCGGCAUUACCACCCGUUUCCAGGAGAAUCGAAUUC